CCUUCAGAAUGGCACUCACCUAUCUCUUAGGACUGACUGACCCAUGUUCAACUGCUGUUCACAUGAACCCUUCUCCACUUCGGCCUUCAAGUUCUUGUUUGAAUAUUGCUACUAACACUAAGAUCUGCGCCUGCGGCGGCUCCACCCGGGCCCGCGCCCUAGGCUUCAAGGCGCACCGCAGCGGCCCUCCUACUCGUCGCGGCCGAGGCCCCGCGGGCC
This is a long non-coding RNA of Gopherus evgoodei (Goodes thornscrub tortoise), 219 nucleotides long. RefSeq lists it as uncharacterized. The record is from RefSeq and is a predicted model, not a curated record. The transcript is spliced from 3 exons. NCBI's taxonomy places the organism in Eukaryota, Metazoa, Chordata, Testudines, Testudinidae.